Molecule: non-coding RNA, 516 nt
Organism: Callithrix jacchus (white-tufted-ear marmoset)
Lineage: Eukaryota; Metazoa; Chordata; Mammalia; Primates; Cebidae
Source: RefSeq, a predicted model, not a curated record
UUCUGACUGCAAGUGAUGGAUCACCAAGUGAUAGGGGGAAACAGAUGAAACACCCACCCCUGAAUCCCCAGCCAAUGACUGUGUAAAUAUUCCCAUAAAGGCCAGUAUCAAGCUCCAACAGCACAUCACUGAACUUUGAGUUGGGAAGAGAUGUACACACUAGGCUCUUGUGAGCUGUCUCAGGCUGGCUUCAUCACAUUAUCAGGACAUAAUGAAUUAUGGGAACAAUCAGCUGGAAGAGCACAUCUUUCCUCUAUGGUUGCAAUAACAAGAAGUGGGAGAAGGAGAAGGAAAAGAAGAAAGAGGAGGAAGGAGAGGAAGAGGAAGAGGAGAAGAAAAAGUGCCACCACCACUGCACCGCCAGCCUGGUGAAUCAGACAAAAGAGAAACUUCCAAUAGGUUGACAUGAAAGAAAGGUGUCAUUUAGGAUCAAUAUCCUAGGUGUAUAUUUAAGUGCUUUACAGAUGCGCUGUUGAGUCCACUGCUUUUUGUUGAAAGAAUUAAAACCUAGCAAUG